RNAcentral lists this ribosomal RNA (400 nucleotides) under uncultured fungus. Its description in RNAcentral is "partial 18S ribosomal RNA". It matches the Rfam family "Eukaryotic small subunit ribosomal RNA", at positions 555 to 961 of the family's 1831-position model. The record is from RNAcentral. Lineage: Eukaryota; Fungi.
GCAAGUCUGGUGCCAGCAGCCGCGGUAAUUCCAGCUCCAAUAGCGUAUAUUAAAGUUGUUGCAGUUAAAAAGCUCGUAGUUGAACUUUGGGUCUGUUUGGCCGGUCCGAUUUUUUCGUGUACUGGAAUCCCAAGCGGACCUUUCCUUCUGGCUAACCUUGGGUCCUUGUGGCUCUUGGCGAACCAGGAUUUUUACUUUGAAAAAAUUAGAGUGUUCAAAGCAGGCGUAUUGCUCGAAUAUAUUAGCAUGGAAUAAUAGAAUAGGACGUUUGGUUCUAUUUUGUUGGUUUCUAGGACCAUCGUAAUGAUUAAUAGGGACGGUCGGGGGCAUCAGUAUUCAAUUGUCAGAGGUGAAAUUCUUGGAUUUUUUGAAGACUAACUACUGCGAAAGCAUUUGCCAA